RNAcentral lists this unclassified non-coding RNA (244 nucleotides) under Ascomycota sp. RNAcentral's name for it is "partial contains small subunit ribosomal RNA, internal transcribed spacer 1, and 5.8S ribosomal RNA". The stretch from base 1 to 47 matches the Rfam family "Eukaryotic small subunit ribosomal RNA", at positions 1785 to 1831 of the family's 1831-position model. Lineage: Eukaryota; Fungi; Ascomycota. The record is from RNAcentral.
AAAGUCGUAACAAGGUUUCCGUAGGUGAACCUGCGGAAGGAUCAUUACCGAGCUCAUGCCCGCGAGGGUAGACCUCCCACCCGUGCCUACCCUAGAACCCGUUGCUUUGGCGGGCCGCCUCGCGAGAGCCGCGGGGCCCACGCCUCGCGCGUGCCCGCCAGAGGACCCCCCAACCCGUGUCAUUGUGUGGUCUGAGUCGCAUUGGAAUACGUUAAAACUUUCAACAACGGAUCUCUUGGUUCUG